Xyrichtys novacula (pearly razorfish) is the source of this 14991-nucleotide non-coding RNA. The record is from the annotation of a GenBank genome assembly. Lineage: Eukaryota; Metazoa; Chordata; Actinopteri; Labriformes; Labridae.
AUCCCCCAGCAUGUAAAGAUCUCAGGUCGAAUAUAUUUAACAUGUUUAGAAUUAACAAUUCUAAAUCAGGGAGGCUCUGAUUAUCUUGGGAGAGAAGAAAAGUCACUUUUUACACACCUCACACCACAGGAUAAUCUGGAAAGAUAUCACUUAGAACCAUUCCAUGAUCAAUCUUUUGAUGACUUUCACUGCAAGGAGGAAUUCGAACCCAAGUGUGUGCCUCUCUUUAGGAAAUAAACACUGUACAAUGUCUUCUGUUCAUAUUUGACCAACUUCAGUUAUUUUACUGUUUUUCCAUGUUUAACUUUGAUAAAGCACUUUUUAUGGUUUAUGUUUACGGCCAGUUUGUGCAGCAGUUAAGGCAAUCACUUAGCUUUAGUUUUGUUGGUGACAUAACUUACAAUGGAGCAUCACUACUGUUUCUAUGGUAACACAUUGACUAGGCUUCAGAUGAAAUUUCAUUACAGCCAUAAACAAAUGUUUGCAUGGGAAUAUCUGUGAAUAUAUCCGUACAAUAAUGCAAGGACUUGUACAGAUUUUUCACAUUUAAGUUAUUGAAACCCAAAAAAGUUUUUGAUGCGUGUCCACCAUGUUUCAUGAGCUUGAGUCAAAAGUUUCUUUAACAGCUGGUCUAUUUCUUUUUCAUGCUUGUUGUCCAGAUUUUCUUUUUCCUCUUCAUUUUUCUGCUCUUUCAUUUCUUCUUCCUGUCUUCUCAGUAACUCACUGAUUUCUUUCAGGCUUUUCUUAUUGGCCACGAUUUUCAGUAUGUCACAGAUUUGGUCCAGGUGUUUUUUCCUUCUUUGUUCUUCAUUGUGGGCUGAAAGUGCUUUUAAGAGGUCAUACUGCUCAUCUUUGUGUUGAAUCUGUUUCUCAAACUCUUCCCUCAGAGCUGCAUGUUCCCUUCUGUGUUUGUCUUUGAAUUCAUUGAUCUCUUCAGCUUUCUCUCUGGCUUCAUCAAUGAAUGUCUUCUUCAGAUUCUCAAUUUCGUUUUUAUAUUUCUCCUCAAUAGCCUCUUUUUCUUGUCUUUCUUGUUCUCUUCUGAUCCUGUCCUCUUCCUUCUUUUCCUUUUCAUAUUUUUCUCUCUCCUGUUCAUAUUCUUUUUUCAGUUCUUGUAGUCUUGUUUGUUCUUUUUGUCGUCUCUCUUCCUCUUUUUGAUUUCGUUUUUCCCACUGUUCUGUUUGUUGUUUCUCCAACGUCGCUCUUUCUUUAUUCAUCCUUUCUCUGGUCUCCUCCAGCUGUCUGUUUAUGUUUUCUUUUUCUUCUGAUUCUGACUUUAUCUUUUUCUCCAGAGCUUGAAGUUUCUGUUCCCACUCCUGUCGUUGAGAUUCUUCCUGUUCUCUCCUCUUCCUCUCUUCUUCUUCUCUCUUUUGCCACUCAAUUUGUCUGCUCUCUUGUUCCUUCUUGAUGAUUUCCUCUUUUUCUUGCAGUUCUUUUUCUCUCAGUCUUCUUUCCUUUUCAAUUUCUUCUCUCUGUUGUUUCUUUUGUUUUUCUUCUUGUUCCUGCCUUUUUAAAUCUUCUUCUUUUCUUUCCUUGUCAUAUUUUUCUCUUUCUUUUUCUAUCUCUUCUUUUAGUUCUUGUAGUCUUGUUUGUUCACUCUGUCGUCUCUGUUCCUCUUCACGAUUUCGUUUUUCCCACCAUUCUGUCUGUUGUUUCUCAAACCUCUCUCUCUCAUUUCUCAUCCUUUCUCUGGUCUCCUCCAGCUGUCUGUCACUGCUUUCUUUUUCCUUAGUUUCUGACUUAAUCUUUUUCUCCAGAGUUUGAAUUUUCUGUUCCCACUCCUGUCGUUGAGAUUCUUCCUGUUUUCUCCUCUUCCUCUCUUCUUCUUCUCUCAUUUUCCUUUCUUUACAUCUGCUCUCUUGUUCCUUCUUGAUGAUUUCCUCUUUUUCUUGCAGUUCUUUUUCUCUCAGUCUUCUUUCCUUUUCGAUUUCUUCUCUCUGUUGUCUCUUUUGCUUUUCUUCUUGUUCCUGUCUUUUUAAAUCUUCUUCUUUUCUUUCAUUUUCAUAUUUUUCUCUCUCCUGUUCAUAUUCUUUUUGAAGUUCUUGUAGUCUUGUUUGUUCACUUUGUCGUCUCUCUUCCUCAUCCUGAUUUCGUUUUUCCCACCAUUCUGUCUGUUGUUUCUCCAACCUCUCUCUUUCUUUAUUCAUCCUUUCUCUGCUCUCCUCCAGCUGUCUGUUUAUGUUUUCUUUUUCUUCUGAUUCUGACUUUAUCUUUUUCUCCAGAGCUUGAAGUUUCUGUUCCCACUCCUGUCGUUGAGAUUCUUCCUGUUCUCUCCUCUUCCUGUUUUCUUCUUCUCUCAUUUUCCUUUCUUCACAUCUGCUCUCUUGCUCCUUCCUGAUGAUUUCCUCUUUUUCUUGCAGCUCUUUUUCUCUCAGUCUUCUUUCUUCUUCUGUUUCUUCUCUUUGUUUUUCCAUAUUUUUUUCCAUUUCUUUUAUUUCCUGCUCAUGUUUUCUUUGAAGUUCCUCCUUCUCUUUCUUCAUCUCUUCUUCCUUCUCUCUAAGGGUCCUCUCCAUUUUUUUCUUUAUAGCAGUUUCAGCUUCUUGCAGCAUCUCGUUGGUGAAGCAGCUGCCUCCGUUUGUCUUCACCAUUGUGUCAAUCUUUGCUAUCAGCUCACUGACCUGCUCUCUGUUUUGUUUCUCACGGUUGUUGAACACGUGGUAUCUUCCUCCACAGUCAGCAAUCAGUUUCUUAAAGGAAUCAUCACAUUUCUUAUCAAUAAAUUCCUCAGCCGACAUGUUGUCAUGUUCUAGUGAAUCUCCUCCAGUUAGAAGGAUGAUGAUGAAUUUUUCUGCAUCCUUUCCGAAUCCUUCUUUGAUCAGUUUUAUCGUCUCCUUCUCCUCAGGUGUAAAUCGGUCGAUCUUUAACACCAACAAAAAGACAUGUGGUCCUGGAGCCAGAAGACUGACACAUUUGAUCAUCUCCUCAUGAACCUCUUCAUGGGACAAGCUGUCAUCAAACAGACCAGGAGUGUCGACCACAGCUACAGAGCGACCGUCCACUUCACCAUGUACUUUCUUACAGAAUUUGGUGACUGAAGUUUGGCUUAGUUCAGCCUUAAACUCUUUUCUUCCUAAGAUGGUGUUUCCUGAAGAGCUCUUUCCACUGCCAGUCUUCCCUAUCAGCACAAUCCUGAGACUCUCUGGGCUCUGCUUUUCAUCACCUGUGGAAUAAGGAGGGCCAAGAGUUACCUUUAAAUGCUGACAGAUGCAACAGUUAAGACACUAAUGUGUCACAUCCUUGAACUCACAUAUGAAGUAUUUAUAAUCAUCUUUUUCAAUACUUACAAUCAGGCAUCCUUUUUGUUUUCACAUCCUGAAGUUCAGCCUGCAGUUUGCUGAUCUUCUCUAUUUGGACAUAUGCAAAUGUCUCUGUUGUGUAGCUUUGUGGUUUGUCUUCAUUAUUUUGCAUCUUUUCCCCCAUAUCCAACAGCUGUUUGACUUGCGUUUUGUCCUUAUUGUCGAGCACCAAGAACCUUUUUUCACAGCUCUGAAUGAGCUCCUGAACUUCCUUGCUUUGGUCUACAAAGUUAAUAACAGCUGGAGCGGAAGGAUCUGACUCCACAGUGAACAGAAUCAUGGUGAAGUCAUUGACUGGAGGUCCAAAUGUGUCCUGGAUGGUCUUUAACUCUCCCUUGUCUUCAUCACUGAGUGGACCCACAGGUAGGACCAGGAUAAAGGCAUGAACACCUUCAGGAUCACAGAGGGAGACACUUCUGAGUGACUGCUCCAUCACAGUCUCCAGAGGGUUUUGAUACAAAACAGGAAGCUCCACCAGAGACACCCAACGUCCACACACCUCCCCCUGAUGUUUCACACACUCUGAUGAGCUGGAGGCUGAAUGAAGACCUGUCUGACCUAAAAUGACCUCUGCUGCUGAAGUCUUCCCUGCUCCUCUCCUCCCACACAGGACCAGGUUUAAUGCUGGUUUCAUCUCUUUGGACUUCAGUGUGAUCAGUUCAUCAGUCAGAGUGAGGGAGGCUCCUCUGUUCUCUCUAAGGAUGUUCAUGAUCUUCAUCAUCAGUGACCUGUGGUUGUUUUCAGCCAUGCUGUAGUGUCUUUCUCUGCAGUCGUUAAGUAGAUGUCUAAAAGAGGCGCUUGCUUCUCCUUCCUCAUGUGUGCUGAUGACCACUGAAUGUUUAAAAGCAUCUUGCUCAAACAAACUAAGGAUCAUCUUCAGGGUUUGUCUGUUCUCCUCAGUGAAAUCAGAAGGUUUCAGCAACAGCAGCAGAACAUUUGGUCCUGGAGGACAGAGACUCACAGCGUUCUUCAGCACUUCCACAGACAGACUGAAAAUGUCUGGAGUUUUCACUAGUGUUAAAGCCUGUCCUUCCCACUCUCCAGUCUCCACCAUUUGUUUGGUUACAAAAGGUUUUGUCAGAUUGUGUUUCCAGUGUUGUGUCCAGAUUGGUGUCCACUGUUGAGUCCAGUGUUGUUUCUUUUGGGUGAUGAAGUUACAAAGUUUUGUUUUUCUGUCAUCGUUAUUCCCCAGCAACAAAAGUCGGACUAUAACAAAACAGAAACAUGUAACAAAGAAACAGUGAGUUGUGAGGGAUUAUCUUACCAAUUUAAUUAUAAUCCUUAUAAAUUUUUUAAAUAUAUUUAAAUGUAUACAUACCAGGGGGAGAAACACCUUGCAUGAUACCAGGUCUUGCUUCUGCUUGUCGUGUGAUCGGUAAAUCAGAAGUGGUGUCAAUGAACACAUCACAGCUGACAUGCUCUCCUCUGUUCUCCUUCAUGAUUUGACCCAAACGUGUCAACAGCUCUGGAAGUUCAAGGCCUGUCUGAUCUAAGUACCCAUACCUACACUCUUCGAUCAUGUCUUUGAGGGGUGGAUACUGCAGAUAUUUUCCUCUGACAUCUGAGCUCUGCUCUCUUGGUGAUGAUAUCAGUAUCAAUGAAUGAUCAAAUGAUCGAUCACUGAAACGUUCAAGGACUCUGCAGAGUCUCUGUUUGUGUUCCUCAGUGAAGUCCUCAGGCUGUAAAACCAGCAGGAACACAUGAGGUCCAGGAUCAGAGAGUCUCACACAGUCUGUCACAGUUUUUGUCAGUUUUUCUUCAGAGAUGUUGGGAUGGAUCAGAUCUGGAGUGUUGAUGAGAACUAUGUCUUUGUCCUUUAUUCGACCUUUUUCUUUCAAACAGUCACCACACUCCUCUUUGUCGAACACACUCUCUCCCAGUAUGAAGUUCCUCACUGAGCUCCUCCUAGACUCGCUGUUGCCCAGCAGAACAACCCUCAGCUCAGACACUGUGAGAAACAAGGAUAUAGAAAAGAUUGACUUGUACCUGCAUUGACUUAUAACUUUAUUCCUAGCUCAUUUCAAAUGUUUGAUUAUCUACUCAGAGGUUUUAAUCACAGAUUCUCAGGGAUAGAAGUUUCACUCACUGUCAGGUGGUAAAAAUUUAAAGCUUCUGCUUUUCCUCAGAGGGAAUGGACCACCUAAAAUCAGAAAGACAAAUAUGGAUAUGGGUGAUCAAAGUUUUUCAUUGUUAUCAUUACAGUUAUUAAAGCUCCAGUGAAGAGUUUUGAACCAAUUGUGAAACUCACUGAAAUGAAUACUAAAGCCUCUCAAUGACCUACAGAAGCCAACAAGACCAUCUGCAACAUGUUCACUAUCAUUUAUAAUGUACAUUUUAAUGUCUAAAACAGAGAAGAUUGUCAGCCAGCUGUAGAAAAAGCAUUUCUUUAAAACUUUGUAACAGUAAAUAUCAGUAAUGAAUGACAUAUUUGAUUACUGAGAAAAGUGGGGUUAGAUUCAUUUUGAAGAAAAAGCUCUUUGGCAUUUCCAGAAUAAAAUCAGUUCAGUAAUAAAAUGUAAAUCUUUGACCGCUGGGGUUGAAAAACUUGACACAGACCAAACAUGGCUCACAUAAGUUUUAACAUAAAUUGACCUCUUGUACAUUGAAUAUAACAUGAAUUGAUAUGUUUGAUUCAAACCUUAGUUUUAAGACACAUUUCUCUCAAACAGAUCUUUUUCUAUACCACUCAGUAACACCUCCUUUUGUUGUGCUCCUCUCUCAUGUGGAGCCUCUCAGGGGUCUUUCCCAGUUUCCCUUUUAUUCACUGUAAUCAUGCUCCCCUGGGGCAUGGUGUAAACUUUCACUGCUGUGCAGAUGAUACUCAGCACUAUAGCCCUAUGCCCUGUUAAAACCUGGCACCACAGCUGUGUCUCACAUUAUGCCCUGAACAUUUUCUGCAGUUGAAUGACUCCAAAUCUACAGUUAUUGUCAUUUGCAAGUUUCCCAACGUGUCCUUGUAAAGUCGAGAACGUCUUCACUCUGGACAGAUGAUAGAUGCAUAUAGCAUCGUUUCGCUCCUUUUUAUGCACUUUUGAAGGCUGUUUUCUUUUUUCCUUUUCUUUUCUUCCUCUACGCUUGUCUUGCUGCGAGAUGCGGUCGUCACCAUGUUUGUGUUUUUCUGAUACUAUGGCAACGAGACUCGGCUCCUAUUGGUCCACGUGACAAAAAUCGCUUCACCCCUUUGCAUAUUCGAUUGCGCGUGUGCAAGUAUCAUUACGCCGCAGAAAGGUAAUAGUUCGACACCGAAACACUGAUUACUAAAAAUCGACUGGAUGGCAGUAGAUAUAUUUUUUAGUACUUACUAUCAAUAGAGCUAUUUUAUGAAUCACAGUUUAUGUUGCCCCACUAAAGUGGAACGAAAUUCACUUUCUAGGCACUUGUUCCUCUGUCCCAAUACAGCCUAAGAGGUCUGAGUACAUCCUGGAAAUUUCAUCUUGUUUGGAGCAAAUUUGACCGCUUUCUGAUGCUUAAUGUACAGUCUUAAUUGGAUAUUGCCACGCCUUUCAUGGGCAGUUGAAAGCAUUUAGGGAAGUCAAACCACCACAGAUGUGAUCCUCAGGGCGGGCAGAACAACAUAGUAAAAUUUCAUCAUCCUAGGUUAAAAGGAAAAAAAUCUACCCCCCUGUGAAACUGGAGAAAAUCAGGGUCUGUGAAUUAUGCAUUCUUACAGCCUUUGUGAGCAGUAUUGAUGAAGAUCAAAUCCAGGUUCUAAUAUUUUGACUUGGGCUGCAUACACCAAAUUUAAGACACAUAUAAGGCCUAAGAGUAGUAUGUACUGUGAAUUUCAGCCAUUUCAGACUCAAGAGCAUCCAGUGUCCCAGGUUAGUUUUGUGUUUCUUAAAUCCAGAACUCACUGGCCUGAUUAAAUUACUGAUGGGGGCUCUUCAGUUUCCUCUAUGACAUGUAAAAUGAAAGGAGGGUUAGGGUUAGGUUUGGGUACCUGGAUUAUUCAAAGGCUGACAAAACUCACCUGCUGCUGCAGCCGCCAUGACCUCUCUCUGCUGGAAACACCACAGACCAAUUCAACUACAAAAGAGCAGAGUUUGAGGGUUUGAAAAAAAGGAGUACAAUCUAACAUCUGCUGCCAUCUAAACAAAGACUUUUUUCAGGAUAGGCCUUCAUAUUUCAGCAAGACCUUGACAAACCACAUUCUGACAACAGAGAUUAUAACAGCAUGGCUCUGUCGUAGAAGAGUCUUGCUGAGAAACUGGUCUGACUGCAGUCCUGACAAUCAUUUAUCUGGAACAUUUCAUAUGAUGAACCAAAAACAGCAAAGGAGACCCUGAACCUUUGAUUGGCUAAAAUCCUGACAAGCAAGAAUUGGACAUUAUUUUACUUUCACAAAAUGAGCAUUUAUUUCUAUUUCGAGCAAAACAGAUCAUUUUAAUAGUUCACAACACAGGACCAAGCAACUACUGUCAUCUACUGGUAAGAAGCUGCACCAUAAAAUAACUGUCUGUUCAGAACUGAGCUGCCAGAGUUUAAACCAGGAUCAGAAAACACGACCAUGUCACUUCUGUGCCAGCAGCUUUACACUUGCUACCUGUACCUUUUAGAACUGAAGUCUGGAUUUUACUGAUGACUUUUAAAGCCCUACGUUGCCUUUGAAACAUGUUAGUGUUGUACAAGUUGACCAAUACAUUGAGAUCCUCAGGUGUUUUUCCUGAGCUGUUUUAUGAUUACAAUGGUUAUGUUGGUGAAUACUGUCAUUCUUUCCACAAACUCUAUUUCGUUGCUUUGUCACCACUCAGAUUUUUGUCCUCUUCAUUCCUCUAGCUGUGUUUGUUUCUUUCAUUUGCUUUAUUUCCCUGUGUGCUUGCUGUAAAGCACUUUGGAUCAACUAUAGUUUGUCUAAAGCGCUCUAUGAUAAAAUGUGGUUUUAUAUACUUCUUUUGAGAAUUCUUUGAAAUGAAUAGUACAUCUUUUAAAUGUGGGUUAUUUCUUGAUCUUGGCCUUGUGUGAUUUUAGCUCUAUUUUUAUUCAAUAUUUUUUCCUGCCCUUGUAAAGCGAUAUGUAACCUGGUUUUUGAAAGUUAUUAUUGUUGCUGUUGUUGUGAAAAUAUUGCAUUGCCACCUGCUUAAAAUAAUGGUAUAAGUAUUUUUUUACUCAUGCCAUUAUUUUAAUAAGGUGAGAAAAUGUCUAUUCUCUUUGAUGCAGCUGGAUCAACAUCAUCUACAUCAUUUUUUAACCAAAAUGAACAUGUCAGACCAAAGCUGAUGACUUGUGCUGCUCCUGACAUCUAAAAUGGCGUCCGGAAUUUACGUCCUGUCUAAGGCUCGUCAUCACAGACUUCUCAGCAAGUCAACUCAUGUCUAAAAAUCUGAAUAAAUAACCAAUGAGUGGAAACAAGCAGGAGUUUAAUUCAGAACAGCCAAAUAAAAGAGGGGCUGUGAGGAUUUUCAAAGUUAAUGUGAAAUCGGAUCAUCCUGCAUUUUUCAUUGGGGUUUGUUCGUUAGAGUAGAGGAUAAUCAGACAUCACAUUUAGUUUGUAUAAUUCAGUUGGCAUAACAAUUAAUACAAAACAAACGUAAAGGUAAUCUACCAUGACUUGUAUCAUUUGGAUCUUUUUAAAUCAACUUUUAAUCGAGUUUACUCACCUCUGGAAUUUCUCGCUGUGACACAAUCAGCAGUGGAAGUAAAAGUAAAAAAUCAGAUAAGGGAUUCGGACAGGUUAGGUCACUAAAACAAAAAAAAAAAUGUAACACUUAUAACCUUUUUUUAUUGGCUCAGAACUCUGUCACUCACAGCAGUCCUGCUCAGAUAUUAGUUUGAUUGGCUGUCACACAAGGACGAUUCUUGAUUGGAAAAUAACCCACCCCAUCUCAGAGCCCAACCCCACCCACCCCACCCUACCCUCACACACACACACACACACACACACACACACACACACACACACACACACACACACACACACACACACACACACACACACACACUAUAAGUAAGUCCAAACUAGACAUUUUCUACACAAGCUGCAACAACAGAUAUAACAGCUAAAUGAGACUUUAUGAUCCAAUGCAUUUGCUGAAGGUUUAUGUUUUUUGUAUUUGCAAUCAUAAUUUUGCGUCAUGUAGAGCUGAUCAGACAAGCAAACAAUCAUAGUCAGAAAAUUGUCAUGUUUAAGAUGUUUAUAAUCAUGUAGUUUGAUGGUAAAGUCAAUGCCUGAGGCUUUUACUUUCACACAAUUAUUACGCAUAAUUUAUUCCCCCCAAAAUAUGGAUGUAUAAAAUCACAUGAGCAUCUUAUCUAGAAAUUGAGUUUUUAAUGUAUUUUCCCCCAAAAUUUUCUUUUUUCUUCCACACGAAUACAUGAAAUAAUAACUAAUCAAAAAUAACUUUAAAAAGGGCAUCUCUUCGGCAUUAAAUUUAGUCUUUUAUUCAAUAUCUGUAUUGCUGAGCCUCUACAGUAGGCUAUACCCUUUAAGUUACUUACAUUUGGACUCCUAAAAAAGUCUCUUAUGUCCCGUUUUCUUUUCUUUGACAUCCUUCAUACUUGAAUCCUUUAUACCACACACUCAUGCACGCACGCACACACACACACACACACGCACGCAAACACACACAAACAUAAAUGUAAAUGUAAAUGACACCACUGAUACUAAAAUCCAUUUAAGCUGACGUGAUCCAGGCACAAAAUGCCAAACAUGUUGAUAUACACUUCGUGGUUGCAGAUAACUUGCACUGUCUGCCUCCUAUCCAGUCCAAGCAAACACAAAGUUUUACACUUAAAAAUAAAUGAAUAAUUGAAGAAAGAAAAAAAGAAAAGACAAAGAGGCCUUUUUGAAAACUGAGGUAUGAAAAAAAGGUCACUCAGUCAUCAGGUGUCACCUCUGAGUGGUGGUUUCUGAAAAGAAAAAGUGUUUUGUGAAAUAUGUUCUUGAUCACACUUGCUGUUUGGCAAAUUAUUAUUAUUAUUUUUUAUUAAGUGUCCCCAGCUUCUUUCAGUGCUGUAGUGUUGCAGUCAUUGGCUUUUGAACAUAGUCGGAUGGAUGGUAUUGGGUUCAAAAUCCUGGUAGAGGGCCUUCUUUGCGGUGCUAGAAUUUUCAUGCUUUACUGCUGCAGGCAUGACACUCCUUAAAUCGUCACAAAGUUGUAGAGAGCAGAUAAAACUGAAGGAAUAAGCCCUGCAAAACAGCACUUUAUAGUAAUGAUUAGCACUAAUGCCUCAUACUGAGCAGGUUCUGGGUUUGAGCUCUGGCAGAGAUCUUCUCAUGGGUUCCUGGAAGUUUCUGGUUCCAAAUUCAUGUUAGAGCUUUCCUUGUUGCGCUUAAAUUGACUAGUCUUCUAACACUGGAGUAUAGAUCACACAUUUAGAGUCCCCUGACAGAUUGCAUUAUUGGUGUUGUUUUAAAACCUGGAGAACACAUAUGUGUUCCUUUGACUGCAGCACACUGAUCAGAUGUUCAGGUCUGUGGGCUUCACUUACUACAGAGAAGUAUCUCUGAUUUCAAGCAAAACAGAUCAUUUUAAUAGUCCACAACACAUGACCAAACAACUACUGCCAUCUACUGGUAAGAAGCUGCACCAUAUAACAACUGUGUUCAGAACUGAGCUGCCAGGGUUUAAACCAGGAUCAGAAAACAUGACCACAUCACUUCUGUGCCAGCAUCUUUACACUGGCUACCUGUACCUUUUAGAACUGAAUUCUGGAUUUUACUGAUGACUUUUAAAGCCCUAUGUUGCCUUUGAGACAUGUUAGUGUUGUACAAGUUGACACACAUUAAGAUCCUCAAUAUGAGUCUUCUGGUUAUUUCAGAUAUCAGACCAACAUCUAAAGAGGACAGAAAAAUCUAAGGCUCCAAAACUAUAAGAAGAUCUGCUGGAGGAGAUCAGAUCAGCUGGGUCAGUGAUCACUCUUAACUCCUCUCUGAAAACACACUCUUGUCUUAGAGCCUUUCCUGAACCCAGCUGAAUUUGAUUUUUUAUUUGAGUUUAUUUUAUUUUUUAUCCACACUAUAAAGCUCAGGAACCCUUUUACUUACUCUUUCAUUUGCUUUAUUUCCCUGUGUGCUUGCUGUAAAGCACCUUGGAUCAACUAUAGUUUGUCUAAAGCGCUCUAUGAUAAAAUGUGGUUUUAUAUACUUGUUUUGAGAAUUCUUUGAAACGAAUAGUACAUCUUUUUAAAUGUUUUAAACAUCUUUUAAACGUGGGUUAUUUCUUGAACUUGGCCUUGUGUGAUUUUAGCUCUAUUUUUAUUCAAUAUUUUUUUCUGCCCUUGUAAAGCACUUUGUAACCUGGUUUUUGAAAGUUUUUAUUGUUGCUGUUGUUGUGAAAAUAUUACAUUGCCACCUGCUUAAAAUAAUGGCAUAAGUAUUUUUUUUUAAACCUAGGCCAUUAUUUUAAUAGGGUGAAAAUAUGUCUAUUCUCUUUGAUGCAGCUGGAUCAAAAUCAUGUAAAUCGUUUUUUAACCAAAACGAACAUGUCAGACCACAGCUGAUGACUUUUGCCCCCUCUGACAUCUAAAAUGGCGUCCGGAAUUUACGUCCUGUCUGAUGCUCGUCAUCACAGAGUUCUCAGCAAGUCAACUCAUGUCUAAAAAUCUGAAUAAAUAACCAACUAGUGGAAACAAGCAGGAGUUUAGUUCAGAACAGCCCAGUAAACGAGGGGCUGUGAGGAUUUUCAAAGUUAAUGUGAAAUUGGAGCAUCCUGAAUUUUUCAUUGGGGUUUGGUAGUUAGAGUAGAGGAUAGUCAGACAUCACAUGUAGUUUGUAUAAUUCAAUUGGCAAAACAAUUAAUACAAAAUAAACGUAAAGGUAAUCUACAAUGACUUGUAUCAUUUGGAUAUUUUUAAAUCAACGUUUAAUCGAGUUUACUCACCUCUGGAAUUUCUUGCUGCGACACAAUCAGCAGUCAAAGUAAAAGUAAAAAAUCAGAUAAGGGAUUCGGACAGGUUAGGUCACUUUAAAAAAAAAAGUAACAAUUAUAACCUUUUUUUUAUUGGCUCAGAACUCUGUCACUCACAGCAGUCCUGCUCAGAUAUUAGUUUGAUUGGCUGUCACUCAAGGACAAUUCUUGAUCGGGAAAUAUCAUAGACUGUAUAUAGCAUGGACAGCCUGGUUCCGCCUUCCGCCUGUACGGAUUUAAAGCCAAAAAGCCCUCGGUAAUUCCGGGGUUUUCUACACUUCCUUGAAACCAGAGCUGUGCCGUAGCGUUAUACGCAGACGUUUUUGGCUGGGCGGGAGAAUCGGCUCGAUAACGCUCCGCUCAAAAAGUGCCUCCGCCCCCGGAUGUCCUUCCAGCCUUUCAUUCGUAACGCUAAUAGCUUCCCCGCUCGUCGCGACCAAGAAUAAGUAAGUUCUACUUCUCCUAAUAUAAUGUAAAAUGUGUCAGCGGUCAUGUCACAUGUCGGUUAACACAGUUUACUGCAGAACAACUCAUUUUUCCAAUGCAACAAAAGAGAAAAAUCAAGAAAACGCUAGCAAACCCGAUCGGUCUUGACGAUGAACGAAAAAGAGUGACGCACAAGCGGCAAGUGCAAAGUGUAGAGAAUGACGCAAUUUCCUGUUUUUAUGACUCCUAGUAACUUUAAAAUGGAGCUGCAGAGAGAGAAAAAGACCUGAACAUAAACCAGUCUAAUAAUAACUACAUGUCAACAUCGCAAUCAGGGGUGAGAAAAGUGUAUUUCUGAGUGUGCUGUUCUUGGGGUGGCUUCAUCCGGUGAGGAGGCAGACUAUAUUCUACAUACAGUACAUUCUACAUACAGUCUAUGGUCUUAACAUUUAGACUGAACAAAAGGACUGGUCAAAGCCAUGAUGCUGUUUACCCACACAUGCACUCUAACAGAAAAUAAAAGUGACAGGAAUGAUGAAAAACAUUAAACUCUAAAAGCAGCAGGAGUCUUUGUCACAGCAGGGGAGCACCACUGGAAGCUCUCUGGAGUUUGACAUUGAGUUCAUGUGCUGCCUGAAUCCUGUCCUUCAGUCAAUGAGUUGUAAUGAUUGAAUUUGAAAUUGAUUAUGGUAUUUUGGAUCUCCUGCAGUUGGGUUUAUUUACUGAUUCAGUUUUCAGCUUUUAUCUUCUGUGCUUUUCUUUUAUUUGAUUUUUCUGUUUUGGUUGGUUAUUUUUGCUUGCUUGUCACAUCACUUUGUAACUGUUUUAUGUAAUUUUAUAAAUACCAUUGUUAUAAUUUUCGUAGUAGUAGUAUUUAAUGCAAAAACUGACUUCAUUUAAAUCAAGUCAUAAAACAUGUAGUUAUCAAAAAAUACAGAAGAAGCAGUAGUAUGGAAAACUUGAACAGUAAAUAACAGAUAUGUCAGCACGUAAGAAUGUGUGAUUAUUUUUCUUUUAUAUAUGUUCUUUGUUUAGUAUCUGUCAUUUUGCUGCAGACAAAAGAUCAAAACUGGACCUUAAACAAGAAAGACAGCAACAAGUUGUUUAAAUAUUUCAUCUCUUUAUUCCAAAAAUAGAGAAAAGAAAAAGACAUCUGCAAAACUUGUGAUAAUGAACAAAUAGCAUUAAGAUUUUAGAAACAUUAAAAACAUGUUUACCAAAUCAGUAGCUGUCAACUGGUGUACAGUUUUUAACAUAUUUAAGAUAUAUAAAAAAAAAAUCAUGGAAGUAAAAUAAAUCAUGUUUUGUAUGAUUCAAGAAAAAACAAGACUCUACAGAUUUUUUUUAAUUUUAUUACAUUAUUUUAUUGUACAUUAUUCGCUCAUUGAUAUAACUAUAUUCAUGGUUCAAAAUAGAAAAAAUAUAUAUGUUUGCUGUUUUUACACUAAAAGUCAAGUAAAAUCUGAACUAGUUUAGAAAUGUCUAUGAUGAUAAAUAAUGACAGAUCUGAUAGUUCUGUUCGUUUAGUGCAACAAUGUAAAAAACACAGUAUACCACAGAUGAUGGCUUUUUUCACCUGCAGCUGGAGUCCCGACUCUCAUAACUGAAAAUCUCAUUAAGUCUCUUGCAGUAGAACAUCAUUUUGGAGAAGGAAACAAGGCAGACUAGGAAAGCUUACUACUGCUAGCUGCUAAGCUUCCUGGUACUUCCACUAAACUAGCAGUUCCUUUUCAGCCCCUUCACCUUCAAACAUGUUGUAUAAACACUUAUAUUGUCAUCAUGCAUCUAUGAGUGGAUUUUGUAUUUAGAACAUCUGUCUCUGUUUUUGCUUCACAUUUACUAUCUUUGCCAUGAUUUUAUCUCGUCUGAUUUCUGCUUUGGUCAGCUGGCUUCCUGUUUGGCUAUCGAGUUGCUCCACUGUUUUACUAACAGUGUUUGGCCAUCCUCAGGGAUCCCCCAGCAUGUAAAGAUCUCAGGUCAAAUAUAUUGAACAUGUUUAGAAUUAGCAAUUCUGAAUCAGGGAGGCUCUGAUUAUCUUGGGAGAGAAGAAAAGUCACUUUUUACACACCUCACACCACAGGAUAAUCUGGAAAGAUAUCACUUAGAACCAUUCCAUGAUCAAUCUUUUGAUGACUUUCACUGCAAGGAGGAAAUCGAACCCAAGUGUGUGCCUCUCUUUAGGAAAUAAACACUGUACAAUGUCCUCCGUUCAUAUUUGACCAACUUCAGUCAUUUUACUGUUUUUCCAUGUUUAACUUUGAUAAAGUACUUUUUAUGGUUUAUGUUUACGGCCAGUUUGUGCAGCAGUUAAGGCAAUCACUUUGCUUUAGUUUUGUUGGUGACAUAACUUACAAUGGAGCAUCACUACUGUUUCUAUGGUAACACAUUGACUAGGCUUCAGAUGAAAUUUCAUUACAGCCAUAAAC